Molecule: ribosomal RNA, 465 nt
Filed under: uncultured bacterium
Lineage: Bacteria
Description: bacterial SSU rRNA
Rfam family: Bacterial small subunit ribosomal RNA
Source: RNAcentral
CCUACGGGCGGCAGCAGUGGGGAAUAUUGCACAAUGGGCGCAAGCCUGAUGCAGCCAUGCCGCGUGUAUGAAGAAGGCCUUCGGGUUGUAAAGUACUUUCAGCGAGGAGGAAGGCGUUAAGGUUAAUAACCUUGGCGAUUGACGUUACCCGCAGAAGAAGCACCGGCUAACUCCGUGCCAGCAGCCGCGGUAAUACGGAGGGUGCAAGCGUUAAUCGGAAUUACUGGGCGUAAAGCGCACGCAGGCGGUCUGUCAAGUCGGAGGUGAAAUCCCCGGGCUCAACCUGGGAACUGCAUCCGAAACUGGCAGGCUAGAGUCUUGUAGAGGGGGGUAGAAUUCCAGGUGUAGCGGUGAAAUGCGUAGAGAUCUGGAGGAAUACCGGUGGCGAAGGCGGCCCCCUGGACAAAGACUGACGCUCAGGCGCGAAAGCGUGGGGAGCAAACAGGAUUAGAUACCCCAGUAGUC